RNAcentral lists this long non-coding RNA (341 nucleotides) under Homo sapiens (human). Its description in RNAcentral is "HSALNT0062862". Lineage: Eukaryota; Metazoa; Chordata; Mammalia; Primates; Hominidae. The record is from RNAcentral.
UGUUUUCAUGAGAAUUAAGUUUGACUUAUUUUCCAAAGAGCAAUUUGUAGCCUACUGUCCUGAUAAAAUGGAUUCAUCAUUACACGUUAAUAUUAGAAAGCAGCUCAAUGAGGCCAGCUGGUGGCCUCAUUCCUCAUAGGUGUGAGGAAUGAAACCGAGGGAAGGCCAUUUUAAGUAACAGCUGUCUUUUAUCUUGUCAGCGCUGCCAGUUUUUGUUUAGUAAGCAUUCCAGUUUCUGUAAUAAUUUUAAAUGGAAGAAAGUAAGGAAAAUGUAUGAUAACUGACUUUUUACUCUGAUGUUACCAUAGGGGUAAUGAAGUUCAUCGCAGAUUGUUUUCUAA